This 1593-nucleotide ribosomal RNA is filed under the name Nyctibius griseus. RNAcentral's name for it is "16S ribosomal RNA". It matches the Rfam family "Bacterial large subunit ribosomal RNA", at positions 383 to 2836 of the family's 2925-position model. Lineage: Eukaryota; Metazoa; Chordata; Aves; Nyctibiiformes; Nyctibiidae. The record is from RNAcentral.
AGCCUAACUCUAGCCCAGUCACAUCCUAACUAACAAAACCCAAAAAUUCACUUAAUCACUAAAUUAAAACAUUCUACCUACUUAGUAUAGGCGAUAGAACAGGUCUACCUGGUGCGAUAGAAAUUUGUACCGUAAGGGAAAGAUGAAAUAGCAAUGAAAGACCAAGCGACAAACAGCAAAGAUAAACCCUUGUACCUCUUGCAUCAUGAUUAAGCUAGAACAACCAAACAAAACGAAUUUAAGCUUGCCCUCCCGAAACCCAAGCGAGCUACUUACGAGCAGCUACCCUGAGCAAACCCGUCUCUGUCGCAAAAGAGUGGGAUGACUCGUCAGUAGGAGUGAAAAGCCUACCGAGCUGGGUGAUAGCUGGUUACCUGUGAAACGAACUUAAGUUCCUCCUUGGUUUUCCUCCACGGACCCCUCCCCAACAACCCUACUUGUAGUAAACCAAGAGAAAUUUAAAGGGGGUACAGCCCCUUUAAAAAAGAAUACAACCUCCCCCAGUGGAUAAACCAACCUACCAUUUGUACUGUGGGCCUUCAAGCAGCCACCAACAAAGAAUGCGUCAAAGCUCUACCCCUAAAAUGAAAAAUCCAAAAACCCCAUGACUCCCUCACCACUAACAGGUUAACCUAUAAUAAUAGGAGAAUUUAUGCUAAAAUAAGUAACUAGGGAGCCCCCUCCAAGGCGCAAGCUUACAUCUUCACAUUAUUAACAGACCCAAACUAAUAUUACAACACCGACAAGACCCAAUAUUACCCCCCCCUGUUAACCCAACUCCGGAGCGCCUUUCGGAAAGAUUAAACCCUGCAAAAGGAACUAGGCAAACUUCAGACCCGACUGUUUACCAAAAACAUAGCCUUCAGCCGACCAAGUAUUGGAGGUGAUGCCUGCCCAGUGACACCACGUUUAACGGCCGCGGUAUCCUAACCGUGCGAAGGUAGCGCAAUCAAUUGUCCCAUAAAUCGGGACUUGUAUGAAUGGCUAAACGAGGUCUUAACUGUCUCUUGNAGGUAAUCAGUGAAAUUGAUCUCCUUGUGCAAAAGCAAGGAUAUACCCAUAAGACGAGAAGACCCUGUGGAACUUAAAAAUCAACGGCCACUACAAAUAAACUCAAACCUAGAAGGUCCAUUCACAAAACGUUGGCUCGUAUUUUUUGGUUGGGGCGACCUUGGANAAAANCAAACCCUCCAAAAACAAGACUAUACCUCUUUAACCAAGAGCAACCCCUCGACGUGCUAACAGCGACCAGACCCAAUAUAAUUGAUCAAUGAACCAAGCUACCCCAGGGAUAACAGCGCAAUCUCCUUCAAGAGCCCAUAUCGACAAGGAGGUUUACGACCUCGAUGUUGGAUCAGGACACCCUAAUGGUGCAGACGCUAUUAAGGGUUCGUUUGUUCAACGAUUAAUAGUCCUACGUGAUCUGAGUUCAGACCGGAGCAAUCCAGGUCGGUUUCUAUCUAUGAUGACUCUCCCUAGUACGAAAGGACCGGGAAAGUGGGGCCAAUGCCACAAGUACACCCCUCCUCUAAGUAGUGAACUCAACUGAACUACCAAAAGGACACCCGCAUCAUACUAUCCUAGAAAAGGAUC